AAUGAACGCUGGCGGCGUGCCUAAGACAUGCAAGUCGAACGAGAAAAUUUUCUUCGGAGAAUGAGUACAGUGGCGCACGGGUGAGUAAGGCUUAGGUAACCUACCCUUUCGCUGGGGACAACAGGGGGAAACUCCUGCUAAUACCGAAUGACCCUGUCUUUUCUGCGGAUUAGAUAGGGAAAGACGUAAGUCGCGAAAGGAGGGGCCUGAGUACCAUUAGCUUGUUGGUGGGGUAAAAGCCUACCAAGGCUACGAUGGUUAGCUGGUCUGAGAGGAUGAUCAGCCACACUGGUACUGGAACACGGACCAGACUCCUACGGGAGGCAGCAGUUAGGAAUUUUGCGCAAUGGGGGAAACCCUGACGCAGCAACGCCGCGUGAGUGAGGAAGGCCUUAGGGUUGUAAAGCUCUUUCAGUAGAGAAGAUUAUGACGGUAUCUACAGAAGAAGCACCGGCUAACUCCG
RNAcentral lists this ribosomal RNA (463 nucleotides) under uncultured Pseudomonadota bacterium. RNAcentral describes it as "bacterial SSU rRNA". It matches the Rfam family "Bacterial small subunit ribosomal RNA", at positions 29 to 505 of the family's 1533-position model. The record is from RNAcentral. Lineage: Bacteria; Pseudomonadati; Pseudomonadota.